UACGUAGGGUGCGAGCGUUGUCCGGAAUUAUUGGGCGUAAAGGGCUCGUAGGCGGUCUGUCGCGUCGGGAGUGAAAACUCGGGGCUUAACUCCGAGCCUGCUUCUGAUACGGGCAGACUAGAGGUAUGCAGGGGAGAAUGGAAUUCCUGGUGUAGCGGUGAAAUGCGCAGAUAUCAGGAGGAACACCGGUGGCGAAGGCGGGUCUCUGGGCCGAUACUGACGCUGAGGAGCGAAAGCGUGGGGAGCGAACAGG
Molecule: ribosomal RNA, 253 nt
Filed under: uncultured bacterium
Lineage: Bacteria
Description: partial 16S ribosomal RNA
Rfam family: Bacterial small subunit ribosomal RNA
Source: RNAcentral